This 30-nucleotide non-coding RNA is filed under the name Mus musculus (house mouse). The record is from RNAcentral. Lineage: Eukaryota; Metazoa; Chordata; Mammalia; Rodentia; Muridae.
UAAAGUCUCAUGUGUUGCCUUUGACAUUAA